UACAGAGGUCUCAAGCGUUGUUCGGAUUCAUUGGGCGUAAAGGGCGCGUAGGCGGCGGGGUAAGUCGGGUGUGAAAUCUCAGAGCUCAACUCUGAAAUGGCACUUGAUACUGCUCUGCUAGAGGACUGGAGAGGAGAUUGGAAUUCACGGUGUAGCAGUGAAAUGCGUAGAUAUCGUGAGGAAGACCGGUGGCGAAGGCGGCUUCCUGGAACGACACUGACGCUGAGACGCGAAAGCGUGGGGAGCAAACAGG
This 253-nucleotide ribosomal RNA is filed under the name uncultured bacterium. RNAcentral describes it as "partial 16S ribosomal RNA". It matches the Rfam family "Bacterial small subunit ribosomal RNA", at positions 524 to 776 of the family's 1533-position model. The record is from RNAcentral.